Molecule: transfer RNA, 62 nt
Filed under: Enterococcus hirae
Lineage: Bacteria; Bacillati; Bacillota; Bacilli; Lactobacillales; Enterococcaceae
Description: tRNA-Thr
Rfam family: tRNA
About the family: Transfer RNA (tRNA) molecules are approximately 80 nucleotides in length. Their secondary structure includes four short double-helical elements and three loops (D, anti-codon, and T loops).
Source: RNAcentral
CGNUCAGUUGGUAGAGCAUCUGAUUUGUAAUCAGAGGGUCGAGGGUUCAAGUCCUUUAGCCG